CCAUCAAACUUCACUUCAAGUUAACUAAUUCCAUCCCUAUUCCAUUCAACAGCAUCUAUCCAUCCAUCCAUCAUGAGCAACUACAACCAAAAACAGGCUCCAGUGGCAUAUCCCUACCCAGCAGCACAGGCACAACCACAACCCCCUGCAUACUUAAUUCCCCCACCGCCUGCCGGAUAUCCCGUCAGAGAUGCAGCUCAAGCCUCCAAUUCCGCUCCGGCACCCGGCAAAACUACGUCCAAAGACGACGGCGGCAGCUGUGCGUGCUGCUGUUGCUGUUUCGGUUGACGACCCAAAACCGCAGAGACGACACCACCAUUUCUUCUUCCGCUCGUGCCAUUUCUUGUGCAGUAGCAUCUUUCUUUGUUUGUUUCUAGUUCAUGGCUUGGACUUCCUUUACGUUCAACUUAAUUGUGUGACUAGGUACUAAAAUUCGUAUGUUGAUGUGGGAUUUUUCAGUAGUAGCAUUACAUCUUCUCCUAGUCCUACUCCUGGAUUAAUCUCAUCUCAUGAGGAUUGAUCUUAUUGGUAUUGUUAUUGUAUGGGUUGGACGUGCACCAUUGUCAGAUUGAUGAGUAAGAAUCCCAUGAAACUAGUACUCGAUGGUCUUCUCUGUUAA
Molecule: long non-coding RNA, 619 nt
Organism: Coffea eugenioides
Lineage: Eukaryota; Viridiplantae; Streptophyta; Magnoliopsida; Gentianales; Rubiaceae
Exons: 3
Source: RefSeq, a predicted model, not a curated record